Pezoporus occidentalis (night parrot) is the source of this 582-nucleotide long non-coding RNA. RefSeq lists it as uncharacterized. Lineage: Eukaryota; Metazoa; Chordata; Aves; Psittaciformes; Psittacidae. The record is from RefSeq and is a predicted model, not a curated record. The transcript is spliced from 2 exons.
GCGCCGGCGCGGUUCCUCCGCCACCUCCCGCGGUGCUGGGAGCCGCGGCCUUGCGUGACCCCGCUGGGGCAGGCCGGCUCCCUCCCGCCUCGCUCCCCAGGGUGCAGGGCCCCGCCGGCCGGUUGCCUGGUGGGGACCGUGGGCUGACGGCGCCUCCGGGGCAGCUGUGGCAGAGCCAUUUUGUUUCGCCACCUCAGAGAGCGCGGGGUGCAGAGAGCCGCCGGAGUUCCACCAUCUCUGCAGAGUUCCAGCCUGUGCCCUUCUUCAUUAUAACAGGAUUUCAAACACAAAUACGUAUAGAAAAGACUGGUUUUGUUUUAAGGUGUUCUUUGAGCAGUAUGAAAAGCAAGCAGCAUUCCAAACAUACCGAAUGAUCCUCAGGAGUGAAAUUAAACGAUGACUACAAUUAAGAUGUUCUAGGUUAUUAUAACACAUGGUGCCAAGAAGUAAAUGACAGUGCUUAUGUUUGCCUCCUUAGCUGCUUGUGUGUCUUCACCAAUCCUUUUCAAGGCCAGGAUUUGCUCUACUUUCCCUUUAAGUUCUGAAAGCCAAAUAAAUAGCAAAACUGCUCCGUGACAUGGA